UUCGGCCGGAGCCGCCAUCUUCCAGUAAUUCGCCAAAAUGACGAACACAAAGGGAAAGAGGAGAGGCACCCGAUACAUGUUCUCUAGGCCUUUUAGAAAACAUGGAGUUGUUCCUUUGGCCACAUACAUGCGAAUCUACAAGAAAGGUGAUAUUGUAGACAUCAAGGGAAUGGGUACUGUUCAAAAAGGCAUGCCCCACAAAUGUUACCAUGGCAAAACUGGAAGAGUCUACAAUGUUACCCAGCAUGCUGCUGGAAUUGUUGUAAAUAAACAAGUUAAGGGCAAGAUUCUUGCCAAGAGGAUUAAUGUACGUAUCGCGCACAUUAAGCACUCUAAGAGCCGAGAUAGCUUCCUGAAGCGUGUGAAGGAAAAUGAUCAGAAAAAGAAGGAAGCCAAAGAGAAAGGUACCUGGGUUCAACUGAAGCGACAGCCUGCUCCACCCAGAGAAGCACACUUUGUGAGAACCAAUGGAAAGGAGCCCGAGCUGCUGGAACCUAUUCCUUAUGAAUUCAUGGCAUAAUAGGUGUUUCACACUUUGUGAGAAGCGACAG
Microcebus murinus (gray mouse lemur) is the source of this 551-nucleotide non-coding RNA. Lineage: Eukaryota; Metazoa; Chordata; Mammalia; Primates; Cheirogaleidae. The record is from RefSeq and is a predicted model, not a curated record.